UAAAUCGUGCGUGGAGCGCGGCCUUAUCAUUAUGUACAUAGUCUGUGUAAAUGCUCGUGUUCAGUUUAGUAUCCAUUCAAUUUACAGUUAUAGAGAUCAACGAGCUACAACGUCGACAGCAAAUAUUGACCAAAGUGCUUUGAAAAAAUCUCACGGUAAACAUAAUCUGACGACUGACAAGCUGUACUAUACAUCUCUAAGCCGAAAUGAGUGGUUACGCGAAACUUCUGAUUUUCGCCUUUCUGUUGGUUCUGUCUGUAAGCCAAGUAUUAGGAUGCAGAGGCCAAUGUUGGAAAGAUGUUAAGCCUCGUGACGAUUUUUGUUCGGAAAUAUUCAGAUACCAAUACACUACUAUGGCACCGGCAAAUGUGUUGUGUUACUGUUGUAGAAGGUUAUGAACAAUGAUGCAAUACACGCCGUAUCAACUGCAGAAACUCAAGAUAAGCAUUACAGUAUAAUAUAAUAAUACUCAGAAGAAAUUCAGAAACAUAAUUUGAUAAAACAAAAACCAUCUCCUAGCUUAAAGAUUAUAAUUUUUAUUUUAAAAUG
This 549-nucleotide long non-coding RNA is filed under the name Acyrthosiphon pisum (pea aphid). RNAcentral describes it as "uncharacterized LOC100574884, transcript variant X1". Lineage: Eukaryota; Metazoa; Arthropoda; Insecta; Hemiptera; Aphididae. The record is from RNAcentral.